RNAcentral lists this ribosomal RNA (220 nucleotides) under uncultured bacterium. RNAcentral's name for it is "partial 16S ribosomal RNA". It matches the Rfam family "Bacterial small subunit ribosomal RNA", at positions 524 to 740 of the family's 1533-position model. The record is from RNAcentral.
UACGAAGGGGGCUAGCGUUGCUCGGAAUCACUGGGCGUAAAGGGUGCGUAGGCGGGUCUUUAAGUCAGGGGUGAAAUCCUGGAGCUCAACUCCAGAACUGCCUUUGAUACUGAAGAUCUUGAGUUCGGGAGAGGUGAGUGGAACUGCGAGUGUAGAGGUGAAAUUCGAUAGAUAUUCACAAGAACACCAGUGGCGAAGGGCGGACUCGCUGGCCCAUAGU